GGAAUAUAGGUCAAUGGGCGAGAGCCUGAACCAGCCAAGUAGCGUGCAGGAAGACGGCCCUAUGGGUUGUAAACUGCUUUUAUACGGGGAUAAAGUGAGGGACGUGUCCCUUAUUGUAGGUACCGUAUGAAUAAGGACCGGCUAAUUCCGUGCCAGCAGCCGCGGUAAUACGGAAGGUCCGGGCGUUAUCCGGAUUUAUUGGGUUUAAAGGGAGCGCAGGCCGAUGGUUAAGCGUGACGUGAAAUGUAGGUGCUCAACAUCUGCACUGCGUCGCGAACUGGCAAUCUUGAGUGAGUUCGAUGUAGGCGGAAUUCGUGGUGUAGCGGUGGAAUGCUUAGAUAUCACGAAGAACCCCGAUUGCGAAGGCAGCUGACGAGUCCUUUACUGACGCUAAAGCUCGAAGGUGCGGGUAUCGAACA
This 419-nucleotide ribosomal RNA is filed under the name uncultured Prevotella sp. RNAcentral describes it as "bacterial SSU rRNA". It matches the Rfam family "Bacterial small subunit ribosomal RNA", at positions 358 to 774 of the family's 1533-position model. Lineage: Bacteria; Pseudomonadati; Bacteroidota; Bacteroidia; Bacteroidales; Prevotellaceae. The record is from RNAcentral.